RNAcentral lists this transfer RNA (73 nucleotides) under Mesocricetus auratus (golden hamster). It matches the Rfam family "tRNA". Rfam says of the family: Transfer RNA (tRNA) molecules are approximately 80 nucleotides in length. Their secondary structure includes four short double-helical elements and three loops (D, anti-codon, and T loops). Lineage: Eukaryota; Metazoa; Chordata; Mammalia; Rodentia; Cricetidae. The record is from Rfam by way of RNAcentral.
GGGGAUGUAGCACAGAGGGUAGAGAGCUAGCCUCACAAACUAGAGCCCCUGGGUUUGAUCCCCAGCAUUGCCC